UUCUGUAGAAUUUUGUGUCUAGCUAGUGAAGCAGAGUUAAGCCUGAAUGGAGGCGUUGGUUGAGCGAAAGGGUUCCCAUGUUUCUUGUUUGACAACAGUAUGAGCCUUUAGCAUCCACUUAAAGCAGCCCUACUAUACAUGCCAAAAAGAAGUUACAAAAUUAUUUGAUAAAAUACACAGAGGGUAAGUGGCAAAGUUAGAGGUAAUAUUGGACUCUAAAGGAAAGCAAAUUGCAUAAGAAUAAAAGAGGAAAGGUAUAAAAGUUAUAGAGGUAGUACUAGACACCAAGCAAAAGCAAAAUUGCAUUAUAUAGUAAUGGAAAUUGAUACAGAGCAAUGAUUUUAUUAGUACGAGUCUCAUCAGGAACCAGAUUAAGACCCCUCUGAAUGUCAAGCAAACACUGUAAGCUCAGAGCAACUACUUUGAAAAUCUUCUGAUACAUCUGUUAGCAAAAUAUGGCCUUCCUGACCGUACGUAUGUAUUUAUACAUAUCUCCUGUACAUAUACUUGAACUUCUAGGAGAUUAAUGUACAUAUAGAUGGUUAAUAGUACAAUGACCAAAGUCAAGAAUCUUCCCAAGUUUCAUUCAAGUAUACAUCAUCAAAGUCAUAAAUUUGUCAAGAUUAAACGAAAGAAUCAUCUAUAUACAAAGAACAUUCAUAUGGAAAAUAUAAAUGAAUAUUAUAUGAAUUCAUUAAGUUACAUUAACCAAAGUCAAGUAACUAUUUAGAUACAUUCAAGAUUCUUAAUGGAUGUCUAUCCAUAUAUUAAUGCAGAUACAUAGUAUAUUGACAUAUUUGAAUGUAGAUGAAGAGUUAAUAGUCCUUAUCCAUUAUAACUCUUGAUGAGUAAGAUCAUGAAGAGACACUUUAAAAGUGAGUUAGGGAAGUGGGACAAGACUAUAUUAAUAAGUUCACAUCUUGUAAAUCAAAACCCUAACAUGUUGAUGACAAAAGGAAGAUUGUAUAGACACUAAUGGUUAUCUAUUCCGCAUUAGCUGGUGAACACAAAGGCAGAGAACUAUUAGAUAUCAUACAGGUUUUACUUUAUUUCAUGGCAUAAGGUAUGUUUUUCUCUUAUGUUGUUUCUCUCGAUUUAUAAAUUUAGGCCUAAGAUCAUACCAUUUCUUACAAUGGGUACGAGCUACAUUGGUGUUUUAAACGGUUGAAGGCAAUCUGUCAAACUAAGUAGCUUCAGCCAACCAAAUACAUGAACGGGACAAUGAAAGAGCACAAAGGAAACCAGCAAAUUCGAAAUCAAUUCAAGCUCAAUUUCUCAAAUAAGUGUCUAUCUUUUAAGAAUUAAUUACAGACAAGUUGGUUUCAUUUGAUUGUUGGCCUUUUCCUACUAUGUUAAGGCGUUCUUUAACCUGCAUUUUUUGAGUUCUACUUUGGCAUUUCUACUUUCUUUAGACAGGAUUACUUUACAGCUACAAAACAAGAAUCAUGCUUAGUCCCAAACAAGUUAUGAUCAACUACAUGAAUCCUCAUUGACCAUGUAUCCAAUUUAAAUUCUACCUCAGUCAACAAUAUACAACAUAAAAAUAAAAACAAAAAUUAAGAGUAGCACAAGUUUUCUAUAUUUCCUACUGGCAUAAGAAUCUCUAAUAAGGCUAAAUCACUCCCAGAAAGCAUAAGACCUAAAUUAGAUGUAUUAACAUGGCUAAAAUAUAUUCCCAACUAAUCGGUGUCACUUACAAGUUUUUUUCUUUUAUUAUGCCAUAUUUUUCAGUAAAUCAACAUUGAUUCCAUGAGAUUGUAGGUGUUUCGGGACAACUUCUUUUCAUGUGAUUUUAAGUCUACCUUGGCCCCUUUUAACAUCUUUAUUCAGCAUGGUUUCACACCUAUUGAACAACCCAUUUGGAGGUCAACGCAAGACAUGAUCAAACUAUGUCAAGUGACCUUUUCUCAUUUUAUCAUUGAUAUAUGCUACUUGCACCUUCUGGUGAAUGUGGCCAUCUUUAAUCUUGUAUGACCACGUCAAUCUUAACUUUCGUAUCUCCGCGAUACUUAUCUUGGAUGUAUUUAACUUUAGCAACCUAAUAUUCACUCCCAUAUAACAGUGCCGGUCUUGUAAGUAUUCUAAUAUAAUUUACCUUUCACUUUGGUAAACCUUUGAUAAAACUUCUACGGAUAAAAGUUAGUUUUCUUAUAACUAUCUUAAUUUCUAACUCAAUAUUACCUGCUCUAACAAAACUUAGAUAUUAUUAUUAAUCUUCAAUAUAAAAAAUUUAUUCAAAACACUCUCCAAUUUGCUAAUAUUAGUAUUAAACUUUGAUAUAUGUUUUUUUCAAAAAAUAUUUUUUAUUCACUAACCAAACCUCGAAAAACAAAUGAUCUGUCACAACAAACACUAAUAUUUCGAAAGAUUUGAAAGACAAACUUACUUCUUGAAUGUAGAUAUCAAAAUGAGUAACUAAAAAAAUGAAUGUGUGAUAACACCUUUUCAAUCAAAGGGGAUGAAGCUAUCAAAUAAACUCAAACAAGGGCUAAAGUAUAACAUAUCAAAUUUCAAUCAUAGGAAGCUAUCAAAUAAACUCAAAUAAGGGCUAAGUAUAAUAUACCAAAAGAUACUACUACAAUGUUAUCAGAGUUGUAGGAUAUGUAUAAUAUCUAGUAAUCAAUGUCUAUUCUAAUUAGAUAAAACAAAUAGUCUACAGUCAAAUACAAAAUAUCCUAAAAUAUCUUCUAGAAUAUGCUAUAUGAUUUUCCCUAUUUAAGUAAAAUAAAUAUAGACAUGUAUGAAUUUAAAUACAUAUUCUUUUGACGCUCAAGCUCUCAAAUAGGUUUAUAUCUCUCUAGAUAUAACGGAAUUGGUUUGGUUUCAUUUGAUUCUUGGCCCUUCCCUACUUUAUUAAGGCGCUCUUAACCUGCAUUUUCUUGUCCUACUUUCUCAAGUAGGAUUACUCCAAUUUGCAAAACAUCCUACUUUUCAUUAUUAAAAUUUGUGGAUCACUACUCAAGAUAUAUGGUCAAAUGGCUAAUAUAUUUUUCACUGACCAACCAAUCAACAAAAUUUUUGAGGAAAAUAUGACUUCCAUCAUACCAGACACGAAAUUGUGGUGUUUGUUAAAAAACGGGUGAUAUUUUUUAUAUCAAAUUUUCUGGGUUUCGAAAAAAAAAAAACAGUUUAUUUUUCAACCAAGAUUGUUUAUCCAAGAUUGGUGAAUUGUUAAUUUUCAUUAAAGAAAGUUUUUUGAACUUCAAAAAAAAAAUCAAAAAAUAUUUUACAGUUUUCUUGGUUCAAGAGUUUUCCAGUUUUGUAAAACAAAAGCCACCGAUCUAACUGUCCACGCCGCCUUUGAAGCUAGCUCUAUCGCAUUAACGGCCAUGGAAUUACAGAAGAGUGUAGCGGCAAUUAAAAAUUCGAAUUCCAAGCACCAAAAAACCAAGAAACUGAAUCAAGCUUACUCGGUCUUCUUGUCCGUACGAAACAGAAAACAAGUUCUUGGCGCUCUAAUUCGCUGCUUAUUUGGUGAAAAUCCUAAAGAUUCGACUUCUCGACUACUUACGGUUCACAUUCGUUAAAAUUAUCAUUUCUACUUUCUAGAAAGUGCAUACAGAUUUAAGUACUUUUCAAAGAAAUGAAGAUUUAAACCCUAAUUCCGUAGAGUGUUCUUGAACUCUUGCGAGAAUACAAUCUUCAGAUAAAGAACAUACAUACGUAUUUACGCUCUUCUGAAUUUUUCUCUGAGCCUACUACGCGAAUCAAUUUCAGGCAGAAAAUUGAAAAGAAAUCAUUGAAUUUUCUUCAUAGAAGAACUCAUUUUCUAUUUUUGUUCAUUCAAAGGAUAUUUCAACAUCAAAACAUAAUGUUAAAAUGAUAUUCUAUUUUCGAGAAAUUCAAUUGACAUUAAAAUUUUCAACAUUAUGUUACAGUCUUUAGUAUAACGUGUGCACUUGUUUUGAGUUCUUGAACAAUAUCAAUGUAAGCGAAAUAAUUAGCGAAAAAGAAUUGAAAAUCCAGAAAAGGAAAGUGGACUUGCCUCUUGUUUUCAACAAUUGUCAAAAUGGGACCAAGUUGCUCUCCAAUCUAGCCUCUUGGAAAAUGAGAAAACAGAAAAGAAAAUCUCAAGCAAAAAUUUUGUAAGACGUUUCUUUUAUGUUAGAAGAAUCAAUAGAAAAGAGAAGGAUACAUGUAACAAGUUGGUUAUAAGUUCUAAACUCAAGUGAAGCCUUUAUUUUCCUCUUUGUGUAAUUGUGUUUUUUGGGUUCUC
RNAcentral lists this long non-coding RNA (4216 nucleotides) under Nicotiana benthamiana. RNAcentral describes it as "long non-coding RNA (NBEN_LNC022417)". The record is from RNAcentral. Lineage: Eukaryota; Viridiplantae; Streptophyta; Magnoliopsida; Solanales; Solanaceae.